Molecule: non-coding RNA, 222 nt
Organism: Pelobates cultripes (western spadefoot toad)
Lineage: Eukaryota; Metazoa; Chordata; Amphibia; Anura; Pelobatidae
Source: the annotation of a GenBank genome assembly
GAGGACCAGGGGAGCUCUAGCCAGCAGCUCUACUGGGUUCGUCUAGCGAGAUCUGAGCGUUGACGCAGGCUAGAAUUCACUCUCCACUGGACCACCAGGGAUGGCAUGUGGCAGCAAGGAUCCCCCUCUCCCUACAUAAGGUAAGAAGGGAGGGGGGAUAUUUACUAAUCUGCCCCCACAAUCCCACCAAACAUACAGCACACACACAUACAGUACCCUCAC